GGGACUCAUGGAGUGACGCACAGAACCGAGUUCUACACCUAUCUGUGAGUUGCAACGGGUGAGUAACGCGUAGGUAACCUCCUGUAGGGGGGAUAACUAUUGGAAACGAUAGCUAAUACCGCAUAAAAUUAGCAUUAAUGUUAAAGUGCAAGCAUCCUAAGAUGGACCUGCGUUGUAUUAGCUAGUGGUGGUAAGGCACCAGGCAACGAUACAUAGCCACCUGAGAGGGUGAUCGGCCACACUGGGACUGAGACACGGCCCAACUCCUACGGGAGGCAGCAGUAGGGAAUCUUCGGCAAUGGGGGGAACCCUGACCGAGCAACGCCGCGUGAGUGAAGAAGGUUUUCGGAUCGUAAAGCUCUGUUGUUAAGGAAGAACGGUGUGAGAUGGAAAGUUCACGUGACGGUACUUAACCAGAAAGGGACGGCUAACUACGUGCCAGCAGCCGCGGUAAUACGUAGGUCCCGAGCGUUGUCCGGAUUUAUUGGGCGUAAAGCGAGCGCAGGCGGUUAGAUAAGUCUGAAGUGAAAGGCAGUGGCUCAACCAUUGUAGGCUUUGGAAACUGUUUAACUUGAGUGCAGAAGGGGAGAGUGGAAUUCCAUGUGUAGCGGUGAAAUGCGUAGAUAUAUGGAGGAACACCGGUGGCGAAAGCGGCUCUCUGGUCUGUAACUGACGCUGAGGCUCGAAAGCGUGGGGAGCGAACAGGAUUAGAUACCCUGGUAGUCCACGCCGUAAACGAUGAGUGCUAGGUGUUAGGUCCUUUCCGGGACUUAGUGCCGCAGCUAACGCAUUAAGCACUCCGCCUGGGGAGUACGACCGCAAGGGUUGAAACUCAAAGGAAUUGACGGGGGCCCGCACAAGCGGUGGACAUGUGGUUUAAUUCGAAGCAACGCGAAAGACCCUUACCAGGGUCUUGACAUCCCCUGACCCUCUAGAGAUAGGUUUCCCUUUCGGGGCAGGUGACAGGGGUGCAUGGUUGUCGUCAGCUCGAUGUCGUGGAGAUGGUGGGUUUAAGUUCCGCAACGGAGCGCAACCGUAUUGUUAGUUGCCAUCAUUCAAGUUUGUGGGCAAC
RNAcentral lists this ribosomal RNA (1072 nucleotides) under Streptococcus constellatus subsp. constellatus. Its description in RNAcentral is "bacterial SSU rRNA". It matches the Rfam family "Bacterial small subunit ribosomal RNA", at positions 48 to 1139 of the family's 1533-position model. The record is from RNAcentral. Lineage: Bacteria; Bacillati; Bacillota; Bacilli; Lactobacillales; Streptococcaceae.